This 497-nucleotide ribosomal RNA is filed under the name uncultured bacterium. Its description in RNAcentral is "partial 16S ribosomal RNA". It matches the Rfam family "Bacterial small subunit ribosomal RNA", at positions 28 to 507 of the family's 1533-position model. The record is from RNAcentral.
GAUGAACGCUGGCGGCGUGCCUAAUACAUGCAAGUCGAGCGAACGGACGAGAAGCUUGCUUUUCUGAUGUUAGCGGCGGACGGGUGAGUAACACGUGGAUAACCUACCUAUAAGACUGGGAUAACUUCGGGAAACCGGAGCUAAUACCGGAUAAUAUUUUGAACCGCAUGGUUCAAAAGUGAAAGACGGUCUUGCUGUCACUUAUAGAUGGAUCCGCGCUGCAUUAGCUAGUUGGUAAGGUAACGGCUUACCAAGGCAACGAUGCAUAGCCGACCUGAGAGGGUGAUCAGCCACACUGGAACUGAGACACGGUCCAGACUCCUACGGGAGGCAGCAGUAGGGAAUAUUCCGCAAUGGGCGAAAGCCUGACGGAGCAACGCCGCGUGAGUGAUGAAGGUCUUCGGAUCGUAAAACUCUGUUAUUAGGGAAGAACAUAUGUGUAAGUAACUGUGCACAUCUUGACGGUACCUAAUCAGAAAGCCACGGCUAACUACGUG